Molecule: non-coding RNA, 19 nt
Filed under: Rattus norvegicus (Norway rat)
Lineage: Eukaryota; Metazoa; Chordata; Mammalia; Rodentia; Muridae
Source: RNAcentral
UGUGAUGCAGAGUACUCCU